GAUGAACGCUAGCGGCAGGCCUAACACAUGCAAGUCGAGGGGUACUAGAGUGACAGCAAUAUUACUUUGGCUAGACCGGCGCACGGGUGCGUAACACGUAUGCAACCUACCUUAUACUGGGGAAUAACUUCGAGAAAUCGGCGCUAAUACCCCAUAACACUGCGGAGAGGCAUCUCUUUGCAGUUAAAGCUCCGGCGGUAUAAGAUGGGCAUGCGUCCAAUUAGCUAGUUGGUGAGGUAACGGCUCACCAAGGCUACGAUUGGUAGGGGUUCUGGGAGGAUGCUCCCCCACACUAGUACUGAGACACGGACCAGACUCCUACGGGAGGCAGCAGUGAGGAAUAUUGCGCAAUGGACGAAAGUCUGACGCAGCCAUGCCGCGUGCAGGAUGACGGCCCUAUGGGUUGUAAACUGCUUUUGUACGGGAAUAAACCCUUCUACGUGUAGGAGGCUGAAGGUACCGUAAGAAUAAGCACCGGCUAACUCCGUGCCAGCAGCCGCAGUAA
This 505-nucleotide ribosomal RNA is filed under the name uncultured bacterium. RNAcentral describes it as "partial 16S ribosomal RNA". It matches the Rfam family "Bacterial small subunit ribosomal RNA", at positions 28 to 523 of the family's 1533-position model. The record is from RNAcentral.